Rhopilema esculentum is the source of this 931-nucleotide non-coding RNA. Lineage: Eukaryota; Metazoa; Cnidaria; Scyphozoa; Rhizostomeae; Rhizostomatidae. The record is from RefSeq and is a predicted model, not a curated record.
ACCAUCAAAAAUUGAUGAUUUAACUUGACAAGUCUGUCGUAGCAUAGUCGAACAUAAACUUUUACGAAGGACUUCAAAAUUAUAAGCGAAAUAAAGAGCCAACGAGGAAAAAGCCAUGUUUUACCGUCAAGUCGCUUUGCUUCUUCUGUGUAGCUUCACCUUCAUCCCCGAUGGAACAAAGACGGAAUUUCUGUUCAAGAAUGCUGAUUUGAAGAUAGUCGACUUUCAUCUCAUGAAAUCUUCCUAUAUUAAGGAGGAGUCUAUCUACUUGGGUUCCCAGACGAUUGUUAAGGAUUGGUUUAAAUGCUAUUCCAAAUGCCUGGACUUGAUCGAACCAUGCAUGUCCUUCAAUUUCAAAUAUCUGGCCCCAGAGCAAUAUUUGUGUCAGCCAUCAGCGGUCAAGCCUCAUUUAGACAGCGCCAAAGUGCUGAAUGGCGUUGCAGCCCAGGAAGUUUGGUACAUGCCGGACCCAAUAUUAUAACCCAGUUGUUGACGAGUGAUACUCACAACCAAGCACUUGCACAUCUAACUAAUUGGAAAACUGGAAUGCAAUGGUGUUCUUCAUCAGGAAAGCAAAUGCUACGUUGAGACUGGACACAAGUAAAAAUUCUGAAUCAUAAACCGAUAAACCUGAGAACGAUUAACCUUUGACACGAGGGACAAUUUGUCUUUCUGACACUUAGUUGCACCGAUUCAACUUGAGUUACAGAUCUCAAUCAGCUAAACUAUUCCGCUUUAUAUAAUAGAAUUUACUUCUUGAAAUAACAUCUGGUACUUCUAACUCUGUGAACCUAGAAAAGUAGGCUCUCUCAUCACCUCUAUUAUUAUAAGUAUAGUCAGAUAUCACUACUAGCAGUGUAGUCUUUGCCAUUACCUCUAAAGUAUUUUCAGUUGUAAUGUGAGAUAAUGUAUAUCAAAAAUUUGGAAUAUA